This 308-nucleotide ribosomal RNA is filed under the name uncultured bacterium. RNAcentral describes it as "partial 16S ribosomal RNA". It matches the Rfam family "Bacterial small subunit ribosomal RNA", at positions 505 to 807 of the family's 1533-position model. The record is from RNAcentral.
GAGACAGCAGCAGCCACGGUAAUACGAGGGGGGCAAGCGUUGUUCGGAAUUAUUGGGCGUAAAGGGUGCGUAGGCGGCUUGACAAGUCUUGCGUGAAAUUCCUGGGCUCAACCUGGGGGCUGCGCUUGAUACUUGGUUGCUUGAGUGGGGAAGAGGGUCGUGGAAUUCCCAGUGUAGAGGUGAAAUUCGCAGAUAUUGGGAAGAACACCGGUGGCGAAGGCGGCGACCUGGUCCUUGACUGACGCUGAGGCGCGAAAGCGUGGGGAGCAAACAGGAUUAGAUACCCCGGUAGUCCCUGUCUCUUAUAC